RNAcentral lists this ribosomal RNA (1047 nucleotides) under uncultured bacterium. Its description in RNAcentral is "bacterial SSU rRNA". It matches the Rfam family "Bacterial small subunit ribosomal RNA", at positions 105 to 1126 of the family's 1533-position model. The record is from RNAcentral.
GGUGAGUAACGCGUAGAUAAUCUACCUUAAAGACCGGGACAACAGUUGGAAACGACUGCUAAUACCGGAUAAGCUAGACUUAAGGCAUCUUAGGUUUAGGAAAGGAGGCCUCUUGAAAAAGCUCCCGCUUUUAGAUGAGUCUGCGUCUGAUUAGCUAGUUGGUGGGGUAAAGGCUUACCAAGGCGACGAUCAGUAGUCGGCCUGAGAGGGUGACCGGCCACAUUGGGACUGAGACACGGCCCAAACUCCUACGGGAGGCAGCAGUGGGGAAUCUUCCGCAAUGGGCGCAAGCCUGACGGAGCAACGCCGCGUGAUCGAAUGAAGGCCUUCGGGUUGUAAAGAUCUGUUGACAGGGACGAAUAAGCCGUGCGAAUAGUGCGGUGUAUGACGGUACCUGUUUAGAAAGCUCCGGCUAACUACGUGCCAGCAGCCGCGGUAAUACGUAGGGAGCAAGCGUUGUCCGGAAUUACUGGGCGUAAAGGGCGCGUAGGUGGGUGCUUAAGUCAGGUGUGAAAGUUCUGGGCUCAACCUGGAGACUGCACUUGAAACUGGGUAUCUUGAGGGCAGGAGAGGAAAGUGGAAUUCCUAGUGUAGCGGUGAAAUGCGUAGAUAUUAGGAGGAACACCAGUGGCGAAGGCGACUUUCUGGACUGUACCUGACGCUGAGGCGCGAAAGCGUGGGUAGCGAACGGGAUUAGAUACCCCGGUAGUCCACGCCGUAAACGAUGAAUACUAGGUGUAGGAGGUAUCGACUCCUUCUGUGCCGCAGCAAACGCAAUAAGUAUUCCGCCUGGGGACUACGGUCGCAAGACUAAAACUCAAAGGAAUUGACGGGGACCCGCACAAGCGGUGGAGCAUGUGGUUUAAUUCGACGCAACGCGAAGAACCUUACCAGGGCUUGACAUCCCUCGCAAUCUGCGGAAACGUAGAGUUUUCUAGUUUACUAGAGACGAGGAGACAGGUGGUGCAUGGUUGUCGUCAGCUCGUGUCGUGAGAUGUUGGGUUAAGUCCCGCACGAGCGCACCCCUACGUCCAGUUGCCAGCACGU